AGUGAACGCUGGCGGUAGGCCUAACACAUGCAAGUCGAACGGCAGCACAGUAAGAGCUUGCUCUUACGGGUGGCGAGUGGCGGACGGGUGAGGAAUACAUCGGAAUCUACUUUUUCGUGGGGGAUAACGUAGGGAAACUUACGCUAAUACCGCAUACGACCUACGGGUGAAAGCAGGGGAUCUUCGGACCUUGCGCGAUUGAAUGAGCCGAUGUCGGAUUAGCUAGUUGGCGGGGUAAAGGCCCACCAAGGCGACGAUCCGUAGCUGGUCUGAGAGGAUGAUCAGCCACACUGGAACUGAGACACGGUCCAGACUCCUACGGGAGGCAGCAGUGGGGAAUAUUGGACAAUGGGCGCAAGCCUGAUCCAGCCAUACCGCGUGGGUGAAGAAGGCCUUCGGGUUGUAAAGCCCUUUUGUUGGGAAAGAAAAGCUGCAGGUUAAUACCCUGCUGUUCUGACGGUACCCAAAGAAUAAGCACCGGCUAACUUCGUG
RNAcentral lists this ribosomal RNA (492 nucleotides) under uncultured bacterium. RNAcentral describes it as "partial 16S ribosomal RNA". It matches the Rfam family "Bacterial small subunit ribosomal RNA", at positions 29 to 507 of the family's 1533-position model. The record is from RNAcentral.